AGAUUCCAGACACAAGAAGCAAACCCAUGGAAAUAUUCCUGUAUAAUUAUUUGUGUCUGUAACAAAAAUUGUUGUUCAUGGUGGGGCUGUUUUCUUUUCCUUGAGAGGGUGGAGGUGGGGAGGAGAUGACUGUUUCUCACUUCUUCAUCUAAAGAAAAAAAACCUAAAGCGGAUCGUCUUUUACACACUGCUGGCAAUCAGGAAGAAGUGUGUGAGUGGUUGGCUUCAUCCCCUGGCUAGACCAUCUGUUCACAAGAGCCACCUCAAGUACCCUGACCUGCUGUACAAUUAAUGGUUCUUCUGCACAACUUAAUGGCUCUGUCAAAAUAGUAAGAAAACCAUUUCUGUUACCAUAAACUAUGUCUGUAAACGGCCUAUCACCCACCAUAAUAAGUCUUGACG
RNAcentral lists this unclassified non-coding RNA (402 nucleotides) under Hevea brasiliensis (rubber tree). Lineage: Eukaryota; Viridiplantae; Streptophyta; Magnoliopsida; Malpighiales; Euphorbiaceae. The record is from RNAcentral.